GAUGAACGCUGACAGAAUGCUUAACACAUGCAAGUCUACUUGAACUUCGGUUUGGGUGGCGGACGGGUGAGUAACGCGUAAAGAACUUGCCUCACAGUUAGGGACAACAUUUGGAAACGAAUGCUAAUACCUGAUAUUAUGAUUUUAGGGCAUCCUAGGAUUAUGAAAGCUAUAUGUGCUGUGAGAGAGCUUUGCGUCCCAUUAGCUAGUUGGAGAGGUAACGGCUCACCAAGGCGAUGAUGGUAGCCGGCCUGGGAGGGUGAACGGCAACAAGGGGACUGAGACACGGCCCUUACUCCUACGGGAGGCAGCAGUGGGGAAUAUUGGACAAUGGACCAAAAGUCUGAUCCAGCAAUUCUGUGUGCACGAUGACGUUUUUCGGAAUGUAAAGUGCUUUCAGUUGGGAAGAAAAAAAUGACGGUACCAACAGAAGAAGUGACGGCUAAAUACGUG
Molecule: ribosomal RNA, 453 nt
Filed under: uncultured bacterium
Lineage: Bacteria
Description: partial 16S ribosomal RNA
Rfam family: Bacterial small subunit ribosomal RNA
Source: RNAcentral